RNAcentral lists this ribosomal RNA (253 nucleotides) under uncultured bacterium. RNAcentral's name for it is "partial 16S ribosomal RNA". It matches the Rfam family "Bacterial small subunit ribosomal RNA", at positions 524 to 776 of the family's 1533-position model. The record is from RNAcentral.
UACGUAGGGGGCAAGCGUUGUCCGGAUUUAUUGGGCGUAAAGAGCGUGUAGGCGGCCAAGCAGGUCCGCUGUGAAAACUCGAGGCUCAACCUCGAGACGUCGGUGGAAACCGUUUGGCUAGAGUCCGGAAGAGGAGAGUGGAAUUCCCGGUGUAGCGGUGAAAUGCGCAGAUAUCGGGAGGAACACCAAUUGCGAAGGCAGCUUGCUGGGACGUUACUGACGCUGAGACGCGAAAGCGUGGGGAGCAAACAGG